CAGUCCGCCGCGGGAAUACAGAGGGUGCAAGCGUUAAUCGGAAUUACUGGGCGUAAAGCGCGCGUAGGUGGUUUGUUAAGUUGGAUGUGAAAGCCCCGGGCUCAACCUGGGAACUGCAUCCAAAACUGGCAAGCUAGAGUACGGUAGAGGGUGGUGGAAUUUCCUGUGUAGCGGUGAAAUGCGUAGAUAUAGGAAGGAACACCAGUGGCGAAGGCGACCACCUGGACUGAUACUGACACUGAGGUGCGAAAGCGUGGGGAGCAAACAGGAUUAGAUACCCGCGUAGUCCCUGUCUCUUAUU
Molecule: ribosomal RNA, 301 nt
Filed under: uncultured bacterium
Lineage: Bacteria
Description: partial 16S ribosomal RNA
Rfam family: Bacterial small subunit ribosomal RNA
Source: RNAcentral